CAGCAACCACGGGAAUACGGAGGGUGCAAGCGUUAAUCGGAAUUACUGGGCGUAAAGCGCACGCAGGCGGUCUGUCAAGUCAGAUGUGAAAUCCCCGGGCUUAACCUAGGAACUGCAUUUGAAACUGGCAGGCUAGAGUCUUGUAGAGGGGGGUAGAAUUCCAGGUGUAGCGGUGAAAUGCGUAGAGAUCUGGAGGAACACCGAUGGCGAAGGCAGCCCCCUGGGCCAAUACUGACGCUCAUGCACGAAAGCGUGGGGAGCAAACAGGAUUAGAUACCCCUGUAGUCCCUGUCUCUUAUAU
This 301-nucleotide ribosomal RNA is filed under the name uncultured bacterium. RNAcentral's name for it is "partial 16S ribosomal RNA". It matches the Rfam family "Bacterial small subunit ribosomal RNA", at positions 509 to 809 of the family's 1533-position model. The record is from RNAcentral.